UAGGGAAUCUUCGGCAAUGGACGAAAGUCUGACCGAGCAACGCCGCGUGAGUGAAGAAGGUUUUCGGAUCGUAAAACUCUGUUGUUAGAGAAGAACAAGGACGUUAGUAACUGAACGUCCCCUGACGGUAUCUAACCAGAAAGCCACGGCUAACUACGUGCCAGCAGCCGCGGUAAGACGUAGGUGGCAAGCGUUGUCCGGAUUUAUUGGGCGUAAAGCGAGCGCAGGCGGUUUCUUAAGUCUGAUGUGAAAGCCCCCGGCUAAACCGGGGAGGGUCAUUGGAAACUGGGAGACUUGAGUGCAGAAGAGGAGAGUGGAAUUCCAUGUGUAGCGGUGAAAUGCGUAGAUAUAUGGAGGAACACCAGUGGCGAAGGCGGCUCUCUGGUCUGUAACUGACGCUGAGGCUCGAAAGCGUGGGGAGCAAACAGG
This 429-nucleotide ribosomal RNA is filed under the name Gemmatimonadota bacterium. RNAcentral's name for it is "Gemmatimonadetes bacterium partial 16S ribosomal RNA". It matches the Rfam family "Bacterial small subunit ribosomal RNA", at positions 355 to 776 of the family's 1533-position model. Lineage: Bacteria; Pseudomonadati; Gemmatimonadota. The record is from RNAcentral.